AUUGAACUCAGGACCUCCACAGACUGUACAACCAUGGACAUUUACUGCUAUCUUUGUGUUCAGAAGUAGAACAAAAGAGACAGGGGAAAGCACUUUGGCAAUGAUAAUGGUCACUGUAUCUUACCAUUUCCAGUCCUCAGGCCUCAAGGAUCGAUUUGUUUCCAAGACAGAACCCUCAAGACUGUGAGGGUGUCCGAAGCCUUCCUCACAUCUUUCCUGAAGACACAAGAGACUGAGAAUGUGGUGAUAUGGUGGAGAGCUAAGCUGUAUGCAUCUAGAUUAAGUGCACAGUGAAAUGGAUGUGGGAAGAGAAAUGAACAUUGACACUUCUUCCCGAGCAAACACAACAUCUUAUCUACAUUGCAG
Molecule: long non-coding RNA, 366 nt
Filed under: Mus spicilegus (steppe mouse)
Lineage: Eukaryota; Metazoa; Chordata; Mammalia; Rodentia; Muridae
Description: lncRNA (ENSMSIG00000001558.1)
Source: RNAcentral